GUGGGCGGAACAGGUACACUGCUCGAACAUUCUGAGUUCCACAGCCACCCUGUGAGGCAGGAAGGCCAAGGUGGGCACAGAUAGCCCCGUGUGCCCGUUGAAGCCGUUGUGGUUCAGAGAGGUUAGGUGGCUGGCCCAUGGUCACACAGCUUCUCCUGCAUUUCUAGAAGAUAAGAUGGGUCAUGGACCAGAAAGCAUGGAAGGGGGAUGGGAAGGAAGAAAGCCUGGCAAGUGAGAAAAUAUACAACCAGCAAGAAGAUAGUCAGGGACAAAGCAACACUCUUCUCUACCUCUGGCAGGAGAGGAAGCCAGAGAACGUGAGAGAGGAGUGCUUUCCUGGGAGUUCAAAGCAAGAAGGUCAGGAGAGGCCUCUGAGAAAUGGCUGCUUCUCAGUCAGGGGAGCAUCCAUGGACUUUACACUAGAAGCUCCCACCAGCUUCACGCCAUGCUACAUACUGGAGCAGCGCCUCACGGACCUCCCAGGUCAGUCCCUGUGAGGGAGCAGCCUCUGGCAGGUUGGGCUCCACAUGGAGGGAUUACCGGAGCAGUGACUGUCUCUUGCCCUUGAGAGGGGCUUACCAGCAAAGAAGCACCAGCAUAAAGCUGUGACCCAGGAGAAAUCAAAGUACAAAUGAUGGGGGUUUGUCAGGAUGAAGACAGAAUCAAGUCCUGGCCUCCCCUACCUGAGGCAUUGCAUCCUCCCACGGCUAUACUGGGGAAUCGGCCUCUUAGGAUCUUCUCAGCUGCUGCACAGCAGGCACUUGCCAGUUAGGCUUAUGACACACAUGAUGCUCCACUGCACAGGAAGGUGCUCCCAGUGGCCCAACCAGCCUCCUGUCUCAGUGUCUCCAUCCUGUUCAAUUUGGAUUCUGCUUCCAGUGAUUUCACUCCAGUAUGGGGUUCUCUCUCGCUAUGGAGCUUCAGCUGCUUGGGCCCUAGAGUUCCCAGGUCCCAGACCUGUGCCUGAGCUUCCUGGAUCUCUCCCACUUGCACCUAUAACUUGGGGCCCACAAAUAUCCUUUCUAAUUUUGGCUGACAUUCUAAGAAAGCUCUGCCAAGCUUCCUUUCCUAGAGUCCUCUCCUUCUAGGGGUGAAAAUAUGUUACAGAUUUGUGGAUUUGUGGAUUCCUGGCUCUCAGACUUCCAAUUUCCCUUUGCCUUCAUCUUCAUCUCAUGUCACAAAGCUGACAUCAUGUAGAUGUUAUUGGUAUCAGCAUUUGGCUCCACCUGUUCACAUUUUGUGGCUCAUGGAAUCAUCCAAUUAUGGAUUUUUGUUUUGCUUUACUAUCCUGUUUUUCCUUUGAAUGAAGAGAUUCUGGAAACUUUUUUAAAGUUCCUUUUUCCCCUCUGUUGCCAUCUUGUCUCCUUGGUUCUCAAGAAAUGUUCAGGGGGCAGAUGAAACUAGAUUGGUGUUGACUGGAGGUGAGGGAAAAAUAUCCAGGGUUAAGCAAUUUGGUAAAUGGGAUGUAACAGUAGAAAAUGUGCUGUUUUUUUUUUAAAGGAUGGAUGGUGGUAUAAAGUGGGGAAAUGGAGAAGCAUAGUUUUGGACAAGGCAAAUUUGAGUCUUCUAAGUGAUAAGUGUAGGAGACAGGUGGAAAGUCAAGGGCUAAAUACUGCAGCCUGGGCUGGAGACACAGAUCUGAAGUCGUCAAUAUUUUAGCAUUACCUUUUCAUCUCCUUGACUCCAGAUCCAAACCUUUCCCCACUGGCUUUUUCUAUUUUCUACAUGUGGAAAACUCAGGUUGAUAAAACUUCUCUGCUUAGACAUAUGCUAACCGGGCAUUCAAGAAUCAAGAAUCUUCAGGGUUAGAUUUCUUGAAAAAGUCUCAUGAAGAAGCAUGAUGUAUCUUUGCAUAGAGUCUGUAUCAUUAGACUCCUUAACAGACUUGCAUAACUGAGGUGUGUCUAUGUUCUUAAAUGUAUGCCUGUUACUGUAAAAAUGCAACAGGGCUCCAGUUGUCAGCUUUUCUCCUCAUCAGGGAAGGAAUCAAUUAACUUACCUAGGGAGCUGUUAUAUUUGUUAAGAUAAUUACUGCUGGGCUAUGCAGGAAUAAACAAUAAACCCCCAAAUCUCAAUGGCUUAGCACAACAAAAGUUUUUUUUUUUUUCCCCACAAAAAGCCAGACACAAAUUGUGAAGGGCCUCUCUUUAACUCAACUUAGCAAUACAAGACCUCCCACCUAUGAUACUUCUAUGUCGAUGCACCUUCUGAGGCAAAGGAACAGAGUCACCAGAGGUUUGCUUGGGAAGUUUUAAGAGCUAGACCAGGUUGUUGUGUGUAUCAAUUCUGCCCACAUACAACUGGCCAGAACCAAGUUGCAUGGUCCCAACCUAAAAGCACGGAAGUCUGGGAAAUGCAGUCUUCUAACUUACCAGGAAGAGAAAAGGAAAUGGUGAUCUGGUUGGUGAGCACACAGCAUUAUCUCUGCUACAGGCAUUAUCCCAAGUCUAUUUCCCUACUUCUCUCUUCAACUAGGAAUCCGACAAGCACUUAGAGAUCAAACACAAUCAUGGUGGCUACUGGAAUAACUCAAUAAAAUGGGAAAAGAGAGGCUAAUAAAACAGACUGGCAACAUUCAUGAACCCUUCCACCAGUUUGGUGAUGCCUUCACAAGUGGAAAAGAAAACUUAAGUUGAUGUUUGUUGAAAAUCUACCUUGUACUCAAGACCUUCACAGACAUGAUCUCAUCAUUUAUAUAACCAUCUCAGUAAGUGCAGCACGGACUAUGGAAAGAAGCUCCCCUAGAAAUGUGCUUUCAGGUCUACAAAGAGAGCCAUCCAUUUGAACAGAAGGGCAGUACCUCUGCACAUCAUCAAAGCUGAUGCCAGCAGGCGGGCCUGGGCUAAUACUUCUCAACUAUAACAUGAAAACAAGCUCCUGCCUCUUUUCCACCAUCCCAGCCCCUCUAGACCAGGUGAACCAGUCAGAUUUCCUAGAGCCCCAAAUACUGCAGCCACCAUCACAAAUAUAGACUCUUAUUUUCAGGGCCUGGUACAUGGACACAACAACGAGGGGCAGAAGGAGCCAACAUCUCAUCACUCCCAGACUCCUUGCUGUCCCAACGCCAGGCCAAGAAGAUACGUGAAAACCACCAGACCCAACAGCACAUGCAGCAUUUGGCUUUUGGAUCCAAGUAGCCAGAACAGGGGCUUGGUGGCCCUCCUGGGGCCCACAACCCACAGCCCUUUGUUUCUUUAACAUUUUCUUUUCAUACAGACAACCACACACAGACACACAAACACACAUACACAACACAACUUUUGUAAGCAAAGCCUUCGAUUGAGGCUAAAACAUAACUUAUAUGGCCCGGCAGAAAAUAGCUGAGUUAAGCUCUUUCUUUUCUCCUUUUAUAUUGGUAAAGAUUCUCAAAAGAUUAAAAGUAGGUUAGGAGAAUAAUACAACAGCUGUGUUUCCAGUGUGUACCUGACAACGGCUUUUGUAGAAGUGAAUAAUUACAUGAAAAUCACUUCCUUCCCACCUCUUUCUCAGCCCCCUCUGGGUUGCUAGGCGCCCUCUCUCCUUCUUUCGGCUAAUGCCACAUACAGAAGCUGAUGAAUACAGUAUGGCCAUUAUGAGGGAAGGGAGUCGGGAGGGAGAAGGAUUCAAAUGCUCCCUCCCUGG
Canis lupus familiaris (dog) is the source of this 3621-nucleotide long non-coding RNA. RefSeq lists it as uncharacterized. The record is from RefSeq and is a predicted model, not a curated record. NCBI's taxonomy places the organism in Eukaryota, Metazoa, Chordata, Mammalia, Carnivora, Canidae. The transcript is spliced from 4 exons.